ACAAGAUCCCUUUGUAGCUCGACAUUGACAUUUCAUCGUUUUGCAAGAAGAGCUCUUACUGCAAGUGCAGCACACAUCAGAUGUUGACGUGGGUUUCACUGCCUCAUCUGAAGGAGAGUCCAGGUUCUCUUCGUAUGAACGCCUCGGCACCACACUAGAGCGCCGUCUUCCCACUUUGAAGUUUCUUUUCCUGUUCAGUUUUAUAACUGAUUCCUGCUCCGACUCACGCUCUGAUUCUUGCUCAGGUUUCCACUCAUCGUCAAGAUCUGGAUCUUCCCGUUCAUGGUCCGAGUCAUCAGAAUCAGAGGUGUCCAUGUCCUCAUGAACUAUAACCGAGUUCCGGGCUUCCUGCUUUUUCAAGCUGUGCUCGUUGUUUAAAUUCCCCUCCGCAGACCUUUUGAUCAAUUCAGAAGCCUGUAAAAAGGAAUCCAUGCAAAAUUUCAGAGGAUAAGUGGCAUUAGCUAUCAAGAUAAAACAAGAGUAGUAGAAGCUAAUUUUACUAACCUGUGCCUUCACCUGAUGCGCGAGGUCUGCUUUUUGGAUCUCCAAGUAUCUAACAAAACUGCUAAACUUCACAAUUUUUUCUUUCAGGUCUCUUAUUAGGACGUCCUUUUCCCUGCAGUCUGCUUCUCUAUCUCGAGCUAGACACCUUUUAAUUAAACAAUGGACAUGUAUAAGAAUAAAGAGUGAGUUGGGAGUCAUAUUUGGAAUAUGAUCUCUAAAAAAGCUUCAGUGAGAUCUUACCUCGCAGUUGAUGCCAAAUUGAACAGAUAGUUCAUGAUACUCUUUGCGUCACCUAAUGUUCGAACUUGGUUCCACCUCCCUCUUCCACCAAAUACACGCUCCCGUUCCUCUGCUUCAGACAAUUGUGAUGCCAUGGAAACGAGAGUGUUUGAAGAGGUCGCAAGCAUAUUCUCCAGAGCAAAAAUCCUUGAGUUUCUUGCACCCGGAGACAUGGUAUCAUCAUCAACGCUGCUUUGGUUACAGAAGACGUAAACGGUUUACUAUUUUUUCAGUAAUGAAAUGGUAGUGGUACUGGUUUAUGCAAAAUCACCACUCACCUUAUCUUGGCAUUCUUGAGCAACUCGUUUUCUUCCCUUAGCCUUGCAACUUCCUUCGCCAUUCUUGCUCUCCUGAAUUAUAGACAGGAGAAAGUUUAAUAGGAACAUUAUUUUAGAAUCAUGCCAUGAAGAAAGAUAUAAAACAAGCACAUACUCUUCCAUUUGCCUCUCGUACUCAGAACGCACUUCGUGAACCCGAACAGUGACUUCAAUCUCAUGCUCAAUUGCUUGCAUCAAUGCCUGCAAAUAAAUCAUCAGAAAGUUGCAUUAACAAACCAACCAACACAGUCACCUAAGUAACUGGAAAAACAAAGCAUCGGUUUCAUAUAAGUUGGCGGGUGUUACCUGAGUUCCUGGACCAUUAGCACUUGCACCACCUGCGUAUAUAGUAGGAUAACCAGUUAGUAAUUUAUACCAACAAAGAUAGAAUAAUUUAUACCAACAAACAUAGAACUGAUUAUACUAAUCCUUACUCAAUGUCUCCCGCGAAGACGCCUUUCGAUUUUCUAAAAGCUCUUUGAGUCUUUUUGUCGCCUGGGAAGCCUCUUCUGUCUUUCUUUGCAAAACCUGUUAAAACCACAGACGAUUGAGCAGACAUGAUAAUAGAAAAGAUCAAGUUAAUUUGUCUGAAAGUUUAUAAAGAUGUGCGCACCAGCUUCUGUUUUUGAUUCAGAGCCAUGAGCUUGUGCAUCUCAUACUCGUUUCUCCUUCCCUCUUUUUUUAGCUGGUUAAAUUUCAAAAUACAAUAUAACGAGAGGUUCAGUACACACAAGAGAUUUCUGAAUAACCAUGUCAAAUGUCUUCCAAACUACAACGAGACUUUCUACAAGCACAUGUUGUAUUUGAAUAGAGGUGGUGACUAAUGAUUGAGAAGAUGAAACUUGUUUAACUUGUUCCUUAGUGGUGCAAGACAGACACACUUAUCAAUCAAGUAAGCCUCAAAGUGAUCAAGAAAAAUCUAAUAUACCUGCAUGACUUCCUUCUCUCUUGAGGCCUUCCAAGCCCUGAACUGUUCUGAUUCUUGCUUAAUUUUUUGCUGCAAUUGCACCUGCAAGUCCAACCGAAGCAGAAAAGUAUAGUUAAGAGACACAGCAUGAGCAUAUAUGUUACAGUGUAUUAAAAUGGAGAUCACAGGAGAAAAAGAACACCUUUUGGGACUUAAUUCUGUGUAUUUCAUCUUGUAGUUUUCUUGCUGCGUCGUCACUUUUCUGCUUUUGCCUUAAGAGUUGAGCUUGUGCAUCUUGUUUCUUCUUCAACUCAGAAACCUAAAGGGACGAUGCAUCAUGAAAAACCAUACUGUAUGUAGAUGACUGAGUAUAGCUGAUAAACCAAAAGAGGCGGUACCUGGGUUUCAAGCGUGUUCAGUUUCUGAAGAUACGAUUCCUUUAGUUUUUGGGCACCAUCGCCUGGGGCAGAUGGUAUGCUCCGCGAUGCGGGUUUAAAUAUUUUCAUAAUUUUUGAAAAGUUCUUUGUACACUAUAUUCAUAAUUUUAGUAAAAAUUUUAUUUGAUUAAUAUUUAAUUAUAUAAUUUAUGUUUUUAAUUUUUUACUAAAAUACUUUUUCGGAUAACAAUACAAUAUAUAUAUAGAAAUUAUAUUUUUUAAUUAUAUUUUUAUAUUUUGGAUAAUUCAAUAUUUUAUUUUUAAUUAUAUAAUUAAGAAUUUUAUUUGAUUAAUAUUUAGUUAUAUAAUUAACUUUUUACUAAAAGACUUCUUCAUAUAACAAUACAAUAUAUACAAAAAUUAUUUUUUUUUUAAUUAUAUUUUCAGAUUGUGGAGAAUUUUUACUAUUAUUUUUAUUUUAAAAUUUUGGUAGUAUAUUCGAGACUCAUAACGAUUUCUAGUCUAAAAUAAAGGUUGUUUGUAUAAAUAGAUUCACAUUUAAAUAAAAAAAAGAUACAAAUUCUGAAGGAAAAAAAACAUAUAUAUAAUUAAGUACAAUAAUUUUCUUGAAUUACUUUAUUCAAAGCUCUAAAAUUUUCUGGAAGUGUUUCACGAGUUAGAAAGGGGCUUUUGUGUAAUUGUCAUCAGAAGUUAGUUUAAUACCAGAAGAUUAUUACCGGAGACGACAGCUUUAAGAAGGAACGUGGGCAAUUAACACUGUUUUAGGUUGUCGGUGGGGAAGAAAAAAUGACAUAUGUGGACAGAUUUUCAAUUAUUCUCAUUUAUCUACUUGUGUUUUUCAAGAUUUAAAAAGCUAAAAUCGUCGAAUUUAAGGUGUCGAUAUAUAAUGUGAAAAUAUGAGACUACUAUUCUAAAAAAGAAAAAAGACUAGCCUUGGCUUAUUAAUUUCGUACUGGUAAAGUGGUAGUAUGGUAUUGUUUGUUGAUUCAUUAGUUCAUUAUUAAUUUUACUGAUAUAGUAUUGCCGACACUAUCAAAAACUAACCCAAUAGUAACAUUCGGUUUGGUUUUUGUUUGACUAAAAUAUCCGAAAUAAAGACAACAAACCAAACACCAGUUGUAUUAAUAUUAGUGGUGAAAGUUUCAUUCAUUAAUUGAUCACCGUGAAGGCGUGAAACUAACCAUCAAGUUCAAACAUGUAUCUCAAUGAUUUUGUAUUGUCAACAAGACUCACAACUCUAAAAAUUCGCAUAUGCAUUCGUUCAUCUAGAACAUGUUCUUGACACACACCAAAACAAAGAUUAUCGGAUAAUAAGAAAAAGAUCCAAACCCAUCUUUCCUCGUUCGUCAAGCAACGUCUCCGUUUCCUGGUUAGAUCCGACGAGUGUGGUUCUCUUUUUCAUCUGAAGUUGUACUUCCACUUGCCCCACCAGAACUGCUCUGCACAAAACCACCAUUACCAACUGAUUCACCACCGCUUUGGUCGGCGUUUCUUUCUCUCAGCAUGUUGCUGCCUUUAGAAGUCAUCGACCUCGGUAGCUUCAGUUUGGUAUUAUUUGCCUCUCCAGAGUCGCUCGGCUCCUGAGAUGAAGUUGUUGCUGUUGUUGCUGGUGGUGGAUCUACAACGAGCUGAAGCAGAGGCUUCCUCCAUUUCCUUCGUUUCAUUGGCUUUGGCACAUUUGUUUUACCCUGAAACCAAAUAUCAUCAAAUAAGCUAUCUGCUGUCACAGAAACGGAGAAAUGAUCAAAUACAAUGAAAAAGUCUUAGAGAAUGUUACCGUCGUGUUUCCUAUGUCUGACAGAGGCUUUCUUCUUGUUCUGGUUCCUUCUCCAUCAUUAGUCUCCUCAACUGGCUUGUCAGCAAGAGCGUUUUGGAGCAGCAAAGCUCCACGUGAAGCAAGGACUUGUUGUUGUUCUUCCUGAGAACUCUCACUGUUGUUGUUCUGCUUUUCGUCUGCGUUCCUGUUGGAACAUUUAACUGAAGAGCAACCGCAUGAAGGACCACAAGAUCCCUUUGUAGCUCGACACUGACAUUUCAUCGUUUUGCAAGAAGAGCUCUUACUGCAAGUGCAGCACACAUCAGAUGUUGACGUGGGUUUCACUGCCUCAUCUGAAGGAGAGUCCAGGUUCUCUUCGUAUGAACGCCUCGGCACCACACUAGAGCGCCGUUUUCCCACUUUGAAGUUUCUUUUCCUGUUCAGUUUUAUAACUGAUUCCUGCUCCGACUCACGCUCUGAUUCUUGCUCAGGUUUCCACUCAUCGUCAAGAUCUGGAUCUUCCCGUUCAUGGUCCGAGUCAUCAGAAUCAGAGGUGUCCAUGUCCUCAUGAACUAUAACCGAGUUCCGGGCUUCCUGCUUUUUCAAGCUGUGCUCGUUGUUUAAAUUCCCCUCCGCAGACCUUUUGAUCAAUUCAGAAGCCUGUAAAAUGGAAUCCAUGCAAAAUUUCAGAGGAUAAGUGGCAUUAGCUAUCAAGAUAAAACAAGAGUAGUAGAAGCUAAUUUUACUAACCUGUGCCUUCACCUGAUGCGCGAGGUCUGCUUUUUGGAUCUCCAAGUAUCUAACAAAACUGCUAAACUUCACAAUUUUUUCUUUCAGGUCUCUUAUUAGGACGUCCUUUUCCCUGCAGUCUGCUUCUCUAUCUCGAGCUAGACACCUUUUAAUUAAACAAUGGACAUGUAUAAGAAUAAAGAGUGAGUUGGGAGUCAUAUUUGGAAUAUGAUCUCUAAAAAAGCUUCAGUGAGAUCUUACCUCGCAGUUGAUGCCAAAUUGAACAGAUAGUUCAUGAUACUCUUUGCGUCACCUAAUGUUCGAACUUGGUUCCACCUCCCUCUUCCACCAAAUACACGCUCCCGUUCCUCUGCUUCAGACAAUUGUGAUGCCAUGGAAACGAGAGUGUUUGAAGAGGUCGCAAGCAUAUUCUCCAGAGCAAAAAUCCUUGAGUUUCUUGCACCCGGAGACAUGGUAUCAUCAUCAACGCUGCUUUGGUUACAGAAGACGUAAAGGGUUUACUAGUUUUUCAGUAAUGAAAUGGUAGUGGUACUGGUUUAUACAAAAUCACCACUCACCUUAUCUUGGCAUUCUUGAGCAACUCGUUUUCUUCCCUUAGCCUUGCAACUUCCUUCGCCAUUCUUGCUCUCCUGAAUUAUGACAGGAGAAAGUUUAAUAGGAACAUUAUUUUAGAAUCAGGCCAUGAAGAAAGAUAUAAAACAAGCACAUACUCUUCCAUUUGCCUCUCGUACUCAGAACGCACUUCGUGAACCCGAACAGUGACUUCAAUCUCAUGCUCAAUUGCUUGCAUCAAUGCCUGCAAAUAAAUCAUCAGAAAGUUGCAUUAACAAACCAACCAACACAGUCACCUAAUAAAUGGAAAAACAAAGCAUCGAUUUCAUAUAAGUUGGCGGGUGUUACCUGAGUUCCUGGACCAUUAGCACUUGCACCACCUGCAUAUAUAGUAGGAUAACCAGUUAGUAAUUUAUACCAACAAACAUAGAACUGAUUAUACUAAUCCUUACUCAAUGUCUCCCGCGAAGACGCCUUUCGAUUUUCUAAAAGCUCUUUGAGUCUUUUUGUCGCCUGGGAAGCCUCUUCUGUCUUUCUUUGCAAAACCUGUUAAAACCACAGACGAUUGAGCAGACAUGAUAACAGAAAAGAUCAAGUUAAUUUGUCUGAAAGUUUAUAAAGAUGUGCGCACCAGCUUCUGUUUUUGAUUCAGAGCCAUGAGCUUGUGCAUCUCAUACUCGUUUCUCCUUCCCUCUUUUUUUAGCUGGUUAAAUUUCAAAAUACAAUAUAACGAGAGGUUCAGUACACACAAGAGAUUUCUGAAUAACCAUGUCAAAUGUCUUCCAAACUACAACGAGACUUUCUACAAGCACAUGUUGUAUUUGAAUAGAGGUGGUGACUAAUGAUUGAGAAGAUGAAACUUGUUUAACUUGUUCCUUAGUGGUGCAAGACAGACACACUUAUCAAUCAAGUAAGCCUCAAAGUGAUCAAGAAAAAUCUAAUAUACCUGCAUGACUUCCUUCUCUCUUGAGGCCUUCCAAGCCCUGAACUGUUCUGAUUCUUGCUUAAUUUUUUGCUGCAAUUGCACCUGCAAGUCCAACCGAAGCAGAAAAGUAUAGUUAAGAGACACAGCAUGAGCAUAUAUGUUACAGUGUAUUAAAAUGGAGAUCACAGGAGAAAAAGAACACCUUUUGGGACUUAAUUCUGUGUAUUUCAUCUUGUAGUUUUCUUGCUGCGUCGUCACUUUUCUGCUUUUGCCUUAAGAGUUGAGCUUGUGCAUCUUGUUUCUUCUUCAACUCAGAAACCUAAAGGGACGAUGCAUCAUGAAAAACCAUACUGUAUGUAGAUGACUGAGUAUAGCUGAUAAACCAAAAGAGGCGGUACCUGGGUUUCAAGCGUGUUCAGUUUCUGAAGAUACGAUUCCUUUAGUUUUUGGGCACCAUCGCCUGGGGCAGAUGGUAUGCUAGCAAGGUUCUGUCUCAACCCUUCAAUUUCUCUCUGCCAAUCCAUAUAUUAUUUAAUCAAAAUCCGAGUUCAUAAAUUUCAUCAAAAUACAAUAUAGAGCACAUAACACUGACCUGCAGUGCCCUUUUUUCUUGUUCUAGUUCAUGGACCUUUUUCUCAUAAUGUUGUUUGAGAACAGAUGUACCACCGCUUGAAUAACGCUUCAUUUCAGCCUUCAUGAAUGAAUUGAAAUGUUAUUGCAGAUGAAAUACUAAAGGAGAAGUUGAUAUGAAAAUAGUACCUCCUUUUCUUCAAGCCUCUUAUCCAAUUCCUUUAGCUCCAUAUCUAACUUUUCUUGAAGUGAGCAAUGUUCAAGCUCCUUUUCUUGAAAUUCAACCUCAUCUGCACACACUGCAAAUCAUGUCAUCUAUGUAAACAAAUGAACACAGCUUAGCAUAGCAUCCGUCAUUAAAAAAAAAGAAUGUGUUUAUCAAUUUAAGAAUUAGGCAAGCAAAAAUGGUACAACAUUAGUAAAAGUUCCAACCUGCGACAUCAAUCACUUUGUCUUCACAAUCUGACGACUCGUUGGAUGAGGGGAACAAGACAUUACUCGAACGGGGUUUUCCAUAAUUAUAUAUAUACUUAUGAUUUUAAAGUAUGUGUAAUAUCAAUAUAAAUAUUUAAUAAAAAAUGAGAGAUGUAAACUAGAAAUAUAAGGAUAAGUAUAUAUAUGUUCGGUUAUCUUCGGAUAUCCAUUCGGGUUCAGAUAUUAUCCGUUCGGGUUCGGAUAUUAUCUGUUCGGGUUCGGAUAUUAUCUGUUCGGGUUCGGAUAUCCAAUCUCUCAUAACUUAAUACCCGUUCGGGUAAUCCGUUCGGGUUCGGAUAUUAUCUGUUCGGGUUCGGAUAUCCAAUCUCUCAUAACUUAAUACCCGUUCGGGUAUUUUGCUACUUGGGUUCAGAUUUCGGUUCGGGUUUUUUGGAUCGGGUUCGGGUUCGGGUGCGGCUUCAGGUAUCGGAUAAAGUGCCACCCCUACUUGAUACUAUCAUACUAGGUGUUUUGCCCGCGAUGCGGGUUUAAAUAUUUUCAUAAUUUUUGAAAAGUUCUUUGUACACUAUAUUCAUAAUUUUAGUAAAAAUUUUAUUUGAUUAAUAUUUAAUUAUAUAAUUUAUGUUUUUAAUUUUUUACUAAAAUACUUUUUCGGAUAACAAUACAAUAUAUAUAUAGAAAUUAUAUUUUUUAAUUAUAUUUUUAUAUUUUGGAUAAUUCAAUAUUUUAUUUUUAAUUAUAUAAUUAAGAAUUUUAUUUGAUUAAUAUUUAGUUAUAUAAUUAACUUUUUACUAAAAGACUUCUUCAUAUAACAAUACAAUAUAUACAAAAAUUAUUUUUUUUUUAAUUAUAUUUUCAGAUUGUGGAGAAUUUUUACUAUUAUUUUUAUUUUAAAAUUUUGGUAGUAUAUUCGAGACUCAUAACGAUUUCUAGUCUAAAAUAAAGGUUGUUUGUAUAAAUAGAUUCACAUUUAAAUAAAAAAAAGAUACAAAUUCUGAAGGAAAAAAAACAUAUAUAUAAUUAAGUACAAUAAUUUUCUUGAAUUACUUUAUUCAAAGCUCUAAAAUUUUCUGGAAGUGUUUCACGAGUUAGAAAGGGGCUUUUGUGUAAUUGUCAUCAGAAGUUAGUUUAAUACCAGAAGAUUAUUACCGGAGACGACAGCUUUAAGAAGGAACGUGGGCAAUUAACACUGUUUUAGGUUGUCGGUGGGGAAGAAAAAAUGACAUAUGUGGACAGAUUUUCAAUUAUUCUCAUUUAUCUACUUGUGUUUUUCAAGAUUUAAAAAGCUAAAAUCGUCGAAUUUAAGGUGUCGAUAUAUAAUGUGAAAAUAUGAGACUACUAUUCUAAAAAAGAAAAAAGACUAGCCUUGGCUUAUUAAUUUCGUACUGGUAAAGUGGUAGUAUGGUAUUGUUUGUUGAUUCAUUAGUUCAUUAUUAAUUUUACUGAUAUAGUAUUGCCGACACUAUCAAAAACUAACCCAAUAGUAACAUUCGGUUUGGUUUUUGUUUGACUAAAAUAUCCGAAAUAAAGACAACAAACCAAACACCAGUUGUAUUAAUAUUAGUGGUGAAAGUUUCAUUCAUUAAUUGAUCACCGUGAAGGCGUGAAACUAACCAUCAAGUUCAAACAUGUAUCUCAAUGAUUUUGUAUUGUCAACAAGACUCACAACUCUAAAAAUUCGCAUAUGCAUUCGUUCAUCUAGAACAUGUUCUUGACACACACCAAAACAAAGAUUAUCGGAUAAUAAGAAAAAGAUCCAAACCCAUCUUUCCUCGUUCGUCAAGCAACGUCUCCGUUUCCUGGUUAGAUCCGACGAGUGUGGUUCUCUUUUUCAUCUGAAGUUGUACUUCCACUUGCCCCACCAGAACUGCUCUGCACAAAACCACCAUUACCAACUGAUUCACCACCGCUUUGGUCGGCGUUUCUUUCUCUCAGCAUGUUGCUGCCUUUAGAAGUCAUCGACCUCGGUAGCUUCAGUUUGGUAUUAUUUGCCUCUCCAGAGUCGCUCGGCUCCUGAGAUGAAGUUGUUGCUGGUGGUGGAUCUACAACGAGCUGAAGCAGAGGCUUCCUCCAUUUCCUUCGUUUCAUUGGCUUUGGCACAUUUGUUUUACCCUGAAACCAAAUAUCAUCAAAUAAGCUAUCUGCUGUCACAGAAACGGAGAAAUGAUCAAAUACAAUGAAAAAGUCUUAGAGAAUGUUACCGUCGUGUUUCCUAUGUCUGACAGAGGCUUUCUUCUUGUUCUGGUUCCUUCUCCAUCAUUAGUCUCCUCAACUGGCUUGUCAGCAAGAGCGUUUUGGAGCAGCAAAGCUCCACGUGAAGCAAGGACUUGUUGUUGUUCUUCCUGAGAACUCUCACUGUUGUUGUUCUGCUUUUCGUCUGCGUUCCUGUUGGAACAUUUAACUGAAGAGCAACCGCAUGAAGGACCACAAGAUCCCUUUGUAGCUCGACAUUGACAUUUCAUCGUUUUGCAAGAAGAGCUCUUACUGCAAGUGCAGCACACAUCAGAUGUUGACGUGGGUUUCACUGCCUCAUCUGAAGGAGAGUCCAGGUUCUCUUCGUAUGAACGCCUCGGCACCACACUAGAGCGCCGUUUUCCCACUUUGAAGUUUCUUUUCCUGUUCAGUUUUAUAACUGAUUCCUGCUCCGACUCACGCUCUGAUUCUUGCUCAGGUUUCCACUCAUCGUCAAGAUCUGGAUCUUCCCGUUCAUGGUCCGAGUCAUCAGAAUCAGAGGUGUCCAUGUCCUCAUGAACUAUAACCGAGUUCCGGGCUUCCUGCUUUUUCAAGCUGUGCUCGUUGUUUAAAUUCCCCUCCGCAGACCUUUUGAUCAAUUCAGAAGCCUG
Molecule: long non-coding RNA, 10236 nt
Filed under: Brassica napus (rape)
Lineage: Eukaryota; Viridiplantae; Streptophyta; Magnoliopsida; Brassicales; Brassicaceae
Description: long non-coding RNA (BNAP_LNC020699)
Source: RNAcentral